Daphnia magna is the source of this 558-nucleotide long non-coding RNA. RefSeq lists it as uncharacterized. The record is from RefSeq and is a predicted model, not a curated record. The transcript has 3 exons. Lineage: Eukaryota; Metazoa; Arthropoda; Branchiopoda; Diplostraca; Daphniidae.
GUGUUUUGCUGACAGAUAGCCUUGUCAAAAGUUUUCUGUUCUGUCAACUGUCAAAAUGGAUGGUGAAAAUUGUGAAAACAUUGAGAACAUCGAUCCCAACAGAAGUUUCAUUACUGAAGGAAGAAAUAGCAGUGUCAAUGCUACCCUGGAAAAAAUCUACUGCUUCCUGAAGAAUAUUUCCAGUCCAUUUCAGAUGUGGCAGGAAAGAAUGCCAGCCUAUAUAAAUGUCUCUUCCCAGCAUGCAUGUCAAAAAAGAAAGAUGGAUCUGAUAAAGCCCUGAUGGUUUCCAACGUGACAAGGCAUAAUGCCAAGAGGCACUUUUUGAAACAUGAUCCAUACAAUUAACUUGGUCAUUUGGAAAAAUGGAAAGAGGCAAUAAAGAAGUUUUCAGCUGAUGACAGCAGCACUUCAACAAGAAUGUCAACAUUGCUAAAUUGAAGAAAACUCCGAUUUUAACUCAAAAAUAAUUGGAUGACUGGCUUUUGGUAAUCAAUUUUCGCUAUACUGAUUCUAUGAUCAUUAUUAUUUUUUCUUUUCAAAUAGAAUUUUUGGAUUGUU